This 482-nucleotide ribosomal RNA is filed under the name uncultured bacterium. Its description in RNAcentral is "partial 16S ribosomal RNA". It matches the Rfam family "Bacterial small subunit ribosomal RNA", at positions 28 to 507 of the family's 1533-position model. The record is from RNAcentral.
GAUGAACGCUAGCGGCAGGCCUAAUACAUGCAAGUCGGACGGGAUUCAGGAGCUUGCUUCUGAUGAGAGUGGCGCACGGGUGCGUAACACGUAUGUAACCUACCUUUAUCAGGGGGAUAGCCUCUCGAAAGAGAGAUUAAGCCCGCAUAAAAUCACAGCACAGCAUUGUGUAAUGAUCAAAUAUUUAUAGGAUAAAGAUGGGCAUGCGGAACAUUAGCUAGAUGGCGGGGUAACGGCCCACCAUGGCGACGAUGUUUAGGGGAUCUGAGAGGAUGGCCCCCCGCACUGGUACUGAGACACGGACCAGACUCCUACGGGAGGCAGCAGUAAGGAAUAUUGGUCAAUGGGCGGAAGCCUGAACCAGCCAUGCCGCGUGCAGGAAGACGGCCCUACGGGUUGUAAACUGCUUUUAUACGGGAAUAAACCCAGAUACGUGUAUCUGGCUGAAUGUACUGUAAGAAUAGGGAUCGGCUAACUCCGUG